This 1445-nucleotide ribosomal RNA is filed under the name Limosilactobacillus fermentum. Its description in RNAcentral is "bacterial SSU rRNA". It matches the Rfam family "Bacterial small subunit ribosomal RNA". The record is from RNAcentral. Lineage: Bacteria; Bacillati; Bacillota; Bacilli; Lactobacillales; Lactobacillaceae.
UGCAGUCGAACGCGUUGGCCCAAUUGAUUGAUGGUGCUUGCACCUGAUUGAUUUUGGUCGCCAACGAGUGGCGGACGGGUGAGUAACACGUAGGUAACCUGCCCAGAAGCGGGGGACAACAUUUGGAAACAGAUGCUAAUACCGCAUAACAGCGUUGUUCGCAUGAACAACGCUUAAAAGAUGGCUUCUCGCUAUCACUUCUGGAUGGACCUGCGGUGCAUUAGCUUGUUGGUGGGGUAACGGCCUACCAAGGCGAUGAUGCAUAGCCGAGUUGAGAGACUGAUCGGCCACAAUGGGACUGAGACACGGCCCAUACUCCUACGGGAGGCAGCAGUAGGGAAUCUUCCACAAUGGGCGCAAGCCUGAUGGAGCAACACCGCGUGAGUGAAGAAGGGUUUCGGCUCGUAAAGCUCUGUUGUUAAAGAAGAACACGUAUGAGAGUAACUGUUCAUACGUUGACGGUAUUUAACCAGAAAGUCACGGCUAACUACGUGCCAGCAGCCGCGGUAAUACGUAGGUGGCAAGCGUUAUCCGGAUUUAUUGGGCGUAAAGAGAGUGCAGGCGGUUUUCUAAGUCUGAUGUGAAAGCCUUCGGCUUAACCGGAGAAGUGCAUCGGAAACUGGAUAACUUGAGUGCAGAAGAGGGUAGUGGAACUCCAUGUGUAGCGGUGGAAUGCGUAGAUAUAUGGAAGAACACCAGUGGCGAAGGCGGCUACCUGGUCUGCAACUGACGCUGAGACUCGAAAGCAUGGGUAGCGAACAGGAUUAGAUACCCUGGUAGUCCAUGCCGUAAACGAUGAGUGCUAGGUGUUGGAGGGUUUCCGCCCUUCAGUGCCGGAGCUAACGCAUUAAGCACUCCGCCUGGGGAGUACGACCGCAAGGUUGAAACUCAAAGGAAUUGACGGGGGCCCGCACAAGCGGUGGAGCAUGUGGUUUAAUUCGAAGCUACGCGAAGAACCUUACCAGGUCUUGACAUCUUGCGCCAACCCUAGAGAUAGGGCGUUUCCUUCGGGAACGCAAUGACAGGUGGUGCAUGGUCGUCGUCAGCUCGUGUCGUGAGAUGUUGGGUUAAGUCCCGCAACGAGCGCAACCCUUGUUACUAGUUGCCAGCAUUAAGUUGGGCACUCUAGUGAGACUGCCGGUGACAAACCGGAGGAAGGUGGGGACGACGUCAGAUCAUCAUGCCCCUUAUGACCUGGGCUACACACGUGCUACAAUGGACGGUACAACGAGUCGCGAACUCGCGAGGGCAAGCAAAUCUCUUAAAACCGUUCUCAGUUCGGACUGCAGGCUGCAACUCGCCUGCACGAAGUCGGAAUCGCUAGUAAUCGCGGAUCAGCAUGCCGCGGUGAAUACGUUCCCGGGCCUUGUACACACCGCCCGUCACACCAUGAGAGUUUGUAACACCCAAAGUCGGUGGGGUAACCUUUUAGGAGCCAGCCGCCU